CCCUGGGAGCCACCAAGGUGCACUCAGUGGCCUUCUAGGCUUCGGUUCCUGCUCCGCGCCCCGCAGAAACCGCGGCUGGCUGGCCAGGGGCUCUUCCAACUUCCAGCGGGAGCAGGUGCACAGCAAAACAAAGAAUAAAGAUUAUGAAGAAAGAGAAGAACUUCCCAGGCCCAAGCAGCUGUCGGCUCCUGCGCUCCCAACGGGGUGGCCGUUUCCUUCCUCGCACCCUCUUCUCUCCCGGUGCCUGCGGUCCCACCUUCCAGAUACCCCUCGGAGAGUCCAGCUGAGCUCUCGCCAGAGCUUUCCCCUUCCAACCCGCUCGACUUGCCCAGAUCCCAAGCUGGGCUUCUCUCUCCAUCGCCCCAGAAAGUGGGUCUUGGAGACCGAGGCAAGAAUUUGGGCCUCCGCUUCUGUUCCAGACCCCGGACCCCUUGCCAAAAUGCGGCAGAUGUGCAGAUUGGGCCGCGCUUGGUUCCUGGCUGGGUUUAUGGAGCCUGCGGCUGAGGCAGGCUCCGCAGACCCCGAGCCAGAGUGGGAUUUAACGGCGGCCGGUGCGCUGUGCUUGGUCAACCCCGGUAACCGUCACGCUGCUAGUGAUAUGAAAAAAACCUGCCAGCGUUCUGCUUUUCUGCCCCGCUGCAGUCUUUAGCACCCGCCAGGAUUCUGUCCGAGUGUUUGGAUUUUGUAAUCCUCCUGUCUUUGGCCAACUCCCCAUCCUUGGCGGAGCGCUCGCCCUUGGCCGGGCUCCGUGCUGCCAGCCUUGCGGAACCCUAGGCCCGGGCGGCUCUGUCGGAGGCCCACUUCUCACUGAUGCGGAGUGGCCCGAGGGUGGGAGCAGCGGUUAAUGCCGCACUGAUUAAUACAGGCUCCAGUGAAAGCGAAAGUAAGAAAAUAAAACGGAUUUCAUUAUACAUAUACAAUGUGUGUAUGGAUACAUGUACAUACAUAUUACACUUAUGUGUAUGUUACGCACGUUUGUUAAAAUGAGGUCAUAAUGUUCAUGCUGUUUCAUAACCCACUUUCUUUCAAUGACCACCUUUUCAUUUCAGUAAAUCUUCGUAUUCUCAUGUUGCAGCUUCUCCAUUUUUCUUUAACAUGUUUACAGAGAGUCUGUGCAAACCUGUACCAAAUCCAGAACCAUGCAUCUAUAACGUGCUAAAAGAUUGUCAACCUAGAAUCCUAUAACAACCACAAAAAAGGCCUACCUAAAUGGAGGCAAAGUAAUGACUUCAGACAAAAAAAAAAAAAAAGGAAAUCUGAAAAUCUGAGGGAAUUUGUCACCAGCCGAUCUUUCUUAUGAAAAAAUAUUAAAGGAAGUUCUUUAGCUGGAAGGAAAAUGAUACCUGAAUGAAACUCAGAUCUACAAAAAAGAAUGAAGAGCACAGAAGAUAGUAAAUAUGCAGAUAAAUAUAAAAAAUCUCUUUUUUACUGUUAAAAUUAUUCUUUUUUUACAAUAUAACAAAAUGUAUUUUCAUUGGAUAUUAAUUAUGAACCCACAAUGCAUGUAAACUAAAUACAAUACUUCAAAUCAUUCUGCACAAAGAAAUUACAGAUCACAUUUAUUUAAUAACAAAAUGUCUAAUUGUUUAAUAAAAUGUUUUUAGGAACUUACAAUAUAAUUUUCAAAAACAAAGAAUAAAAAUAUUAAAUAUAUCACUUUAUGGCAGAGGACAACAUAAAUUUAU
RNAcentral lists this long non-coding RNA (1685 nucleotides) under Homo sapiens (human). RNAcentral's name for it is "non-protein coding lnc-SLFN5-3:1". The record is from RNAcentral. Lineage: Eukaryota; Metazoa; Chordata; Mammalia; Primates; Hominidae.